CCUACGGGAGGCAGCAGUGAGGAAUAUUGGUCAAUGGACGAGAGUCUGAACCAGCCAAGUAGCGUGAAGGAUGACUGCCCUAUGGGUUGUAAACUUCUUUUAUAUGGGAAUAAAACGUUCCACGUGUGGGCUUUUGUAUGUACCAUAUGAAUAAGGAUCGGCUAACUCCGUGCCAGCAGCCGCGGUAAUACGGAGGAUCCGAGCGUUAUCCGGAUUUAUUGGGUUUAAAGGGAGCGUAGGUGGAUUGUUAAGUGAGUUGUGAAAGUUUGCGGCUCAACCGUAAAAUUGCAGUUGAAACUGGCAGUCUUGAGUACAGUAGAGGUGGGCGGAAUUCGUGGUGUAGCGGUGAAAUGCUUAGAUAUCACGAAGAACUCCGAUUGCGAAGGCAGCUCACUGGACUGCAACUGACACUGAGGCUCGAAAGUGUGGGUAUCAAACAGGAUUAGAUACCCUUGUAGUC
RNAcentral lists this ribosomal RNA (460 nucleotides) under uncultured bacterium. RNAcentral's name for it is "partial 16S ribosomal RNA". It matches the Rfam family "Bacterial small subunit ribosomal RNA", at positions 338 to 795 of the family's 1533-position model. The record is from RNAcentral.